UCUCUUCCUUACCACCACCUUGCAGGCGUCUUAUCUUGCCCUCUUCGGGGCGACACCACGUGUCGACACCAUCCAUGUAGACGGCGGUGAAUUUGCUUUCUGAUCUUUUUUUUUGCGUUUCAGCUCGUCUGUGGUUUGUGAUACCCUAUCGUCACAUGAUGCACCACUUCUGGUGGUGGCAGGCCCGAUUUCCUGCGAGCUGAGGUGGCCAGAGCGAUGUAUCGCCACUGAUGUCGGCGUGCAGGCCCUGGGCGGCGUUGCAUGAGAGCAGUCGGCGACAAAUGCACAACGCCUGUGCCAUCCAUGUUAUCGGCAAAGUGCCGGCGCGACUCGAGCGCAUCUCUCACCCGGCGCUCACAUUGCCCUACGGCUGUAAGGGAGCCUGAGGCACCCCGAGGGGUGUGCGCCAGACGGGCCUCUGGCAUGAUGGUAGCGGCUGCGAGGUGACCCCGUAGGGCGGGCAGCGUUUGAGAGGCAGAGGCCGUGCUCCUCAUGACGGAUGGGGCGCAUUGCUGUAAGGUGCGCGUCUAGGGCUGCUUUGCACGACAGGAUUGAGGCCUGUGGCUGGCCGGGGGCUGGCGUGGCGUUCGACCUCACACACUGCAUGGCAGAGAACCGGGGCACGGCGUGCGAAGAGAAAGAGCCAGUUGCCAUACUUUUGUGCUUCGACUUGGUGCAGGACGAGAUUCCAGCGAUGGCGGAUUAUUUUGGUUUAUUUUCGUUUUGAACGGUGACGCGAGCCAGGGCCCGGGAAAAAAGGGUCGAGGAAGGGCAUGAGGAGGCCGUUAGACGUGUGGGUCGGAUUCAACGGCAGACAGCUCGUCUUGGAUGGCGAGGACUUAGCUUCGGUACCAGAGGGGUGGCCCAACUCUGCCCGCAUGCACACACUUGCUGGCUUGCUCGUGAUGGAAGGACAUGCUGCCAAAAUACGACGAAAAGAGAUUUUUCAAAGCCAACGUAUAGACAAGGAAGCUAUUUUCCCUGUCAUGUGUGCUAUCCCACCAUCUCCUCGCCAGUCCUCCCCUUCCUUUUCAGCUGUUACUCGAGUUUGUACGUGAAGGUCGACAGUGUGGCGGUAAGAGAGUGGCAAGCAAAAGAAAAAGCGUGAUGAGAAAAAAAAGCGUUUCUUUGCUGUUUGAUAUACGUCCCUCAUUUUCGGUGGCAGGCUUCUUAGGCGGCGAUGGUGGAAUGGAGGUAUAUAUAUAUAUAGAUGUGCUUGUGUAAAACGACGCCGCACAGUUGCAUUGUUGCACGGUAUCGUUGCCAUCAAGGUUCGUCUCCCCCCCUCCCCUUUCUUCACACCUUGCCGUCCCUCUUGUUCGUUUCUCCUGCUCGCCCCUUCUCUUAUGUGCUCCUUUUUUGUUGCUUUUUUGUGUUUUUCCCUCCCACGAGAUGAGCGCGUCAAGCAAGUGACCUCAUCACACAUAUGCAUGCGGCUGCUUUCCCCUAACACACGAAGAAAUAUGUGUGGUUUGGAUGUGUCGGUGCUGAGAUGGCCGUCUCAAAACAAACGGAAAUGAUCCUGUGCUUCUCUGUGUACUGGCGUGAGGAUGUUCUUACUUUUUUCAGCUCUUCGUCUUUUUACAUUCUGGCUGAUGGCCACUAGUAGCUGCUUUGAGCGUGGGUGCGCAUACAUUUGUGAGUGUGUGCGUGCUCGCCGGGACCGUUCGCCGCUUCUUUGGGUAAC
Molecule: unclassified non-coding RNA, 1687 nt
Filed under: Leishmania donovani
Lineage: Eukaryota; Euglenozoa; Kinetoplastea; Trypanosomatida; Trypanosomatidae
Description: gene:unknown
Source: RNAcentral